This 486-nucleotide ribosomal RNA is filed under the name uncultured bacterium. Its description in RNAcentral is "bacterial SSU rRNA". It matches the Rfam family "Bacterial small subunit ribosomal RNA", at positions 28 to 524 of the family's 1533-position model. The record is from RNAcentral.
GAUGAACGCUGGCGGCGUGCCUAAUACAUGCAAGUCGAACGAGGUGCUUUUGUAGCAAUACGAGAGUAUCCUAGUGGCGAACGGGUGAGUAACGCGUUGGUGACCUACCCCAAAGUGUGGGAUAACAGUCCGAAAGGAUUGCUAAUACCGCAUGUGGUCUUCGGAUUUAGAAACUGAUGACUAAAGGAGCAAUUCGCUUUGGGAGGGACCUGCGUCCCAUCAGCUAGUUGGUGAGGUAAUGGCUCACCAAGGCCACGACGGGUAGGGGACCUGAGAGGGUGACCCCCCACAAUGGAACUGAAACACGGUCCAUACACCUACGGGUGGCAGCAGUAGGGAAUAUUGCACAAUGGGCGAAAGCCUGAUGCAGCAACGCCGCGUGUGCGAUGAAGGCCUUCGGGUCGUAAAGCACUUUUCUGGGAGAUGAGCAAGGACAGUAUCUCAGGAAUAAGUCUCGGCUAACUACGUGCCAGCAGCCGCGGUAAU